CCUACGGGCGGCUGCAGUGGGGAAUAUUGCACAAUGGGGGAAACCCUGAUGCAGCGACGCCGCGUGAGUGAAGAAGUCUCUCGGUACGUAAAGCUCUAUCAGCAGGGAAGAAAAUGACGGUACCUGACUACGCCGCCCCGGCUCACUACGUUCCAGCCGCCGCGGUAAUACGUAGGGGGCAAGCGUUAUCCGGAGUUACUGGGUGUAAAGGGAGCGUAGACGGCAGCACAAGUCUGGAGUGAAAUCCCGGGGCUUAACCCCGGAACUGCUUUGGAAACUGUGCGGCUGGAGUGCAGGAGGGGUAAGCGGAAUUCCUAGUGUAGCGGUGAAAUGCGUAGAUAUCACGAAGAACCCCGAUUGCGAAGGCAGCUUAAUAAACUGUGACUGACAUUGAUGCUCGAAAGUGUGGGUAUCAAACAGGAUUAGAUACCCCAGGUAGUC
This 441-nucleotide ribosomal RNA is filed under the name uncultured bacterium. RNAcentral describes it as "partial 16S ribosomal RNA". It matches the Rfam family "Bacterial small subunit ribosomal RNA", at positions 338 to 795 of the family's 1533-position model. The record is from RNAcentral.